This is a small nucleolar RNA of Hevea brasiliensis (rubber tree), 75 nucleotides long. NCBI's taxonomy places the organism in Eukaryota, Viridiplantae, Streptophyta, Magnoliopsida, Malpighiales, Euphorbiaceae. The record is from RefSeq and is a predicted model, not a curated record.
CCUGUGCCUAUGAUGGUGUUAAAUAUACUCUGAUAUUUAAAUAUAUAUGAAAAGAAUUUUCAUCUGAGGCAUUUA